Molecule: ribosomal RNA, 582 nt
Filed under: Phoma sp. 3 TMS-2011
Lineage: Eukaryota; Fungi; Ascomycota; Dothideomycetes; Pleosporales; Didymellaceae
Description: eukaryotic LSU rRNA
Rfam family: 5.8S ribosomal RNA (bases 211-364)
Source: RNAcentral
UCUUGGUCAUUUAGAGGAAGUAAAAGUCGUAACAAGGUUUCCGUAGGUGAACCUGCGGAAGGAUCAUUACCUAGAGUUGUAGGCUUUGCCUGCUAUCUCUUACCCAUGUCUUUUGAGUACCUUACGUUUCCUCGGUGGGUUCGCCCACCGAUUGGACAAAUUUAAACCCUUUGCAGUUGAAAUCAGCGUCUGAAAAAACUUAAUAGUUACAACUUUCAACAACGGAUCUCUUGGUUCUGGCAUCGAUGAAGAACGCAGCGAAAUGCGAUAAGUAGUGUGAAUUGCAGAAUUCAGUGAAUCAUCGAAUCUUUGAACGCACAUUGCGCCCCUUGGUAUUCCAUGGGGCAUGCCUGUUCGAGCGUCAUUUGUACCUUCAAGCUCUGCUUGGUGUUGGGUGUUUGUCUCCUGUAGACUCGCCUCAAAACAAUUGGCAGCCGGCGUAUUGAUUUCGGAGCGCAGUACAUCUCGCGCUUUGCACUCAUAACGACGACAUCCAAAAGUACAUUUUUACACUCUUGACCUCGGAUCAGGUAGGGAUACCCGCUGAACUUAAGCAUAUCAAUAAGCGGAGGAAAUCACUCU